GACGGAGGUGGCGAGCGUUGUUCGGAAUUACUGGGCUUAAAGGGCGCGUAGGCGGUAUGUUAAGUCGAAGGUGGAAGGCAUGGGCUCAACCCAUGGACAGCCUUCGAAACUGGCGUACUUGAGUCGUGCAGGGGAUGGCGGAAUUCCAGGUGUAGCGGUGAAAUGCGUAGAUAUCUGGAGGAAGGCCGGUGGCGAAGGCGGCCAUCUGGGCACGAACUGACGCUGAGGCGCGAAAGCGUGGGGAGCAAACAGG
This 253-nucleotide ribosomal RNA is filed under the name uncultured bacterium. RNAcentral describes it as "partial 16S ribosomal RNA". It matches the Rfam family "Bacterial small subunit ribosomal RNA", at positions 524 to 776 of the family's 1533-position model. The record is from RNAcentral.